This 128-nucleotide small RNA is filed under the name Salmonella enterica subsp. enterica serovar Infantis. RNAcentral's name for it is "partial RtT sRNA". It matches the Rfam family "RtT RNA". From Rfam's summary of the family: This family represents a bacterial cis-regulatory element known as RtT RNA. The exact function of RtT is unknown although it is thought that it may be involved in changing the cellular response in relation to amino acid starvation. RNAcentral also lists the same sequence under 1 other name. Lineage: Bacteria; Pseudomonadati; Pseudomonadota; Gammaproteobacteria; Enterobacterales; Enterobacteriaceae. The record is from RNAcentral.
UGAAGUCUGACGAGGAUGAGAACCUCCGGGGGCAAGAGGUUCGACCCGAGCGAAGCGAGAGAACGUUGCGUCAGCAACGGCCCGCAGGGCGAGCCACGCAGUGGCGAGUCAUCCUCUAUCACCGACCA